RNAcentral lists this long non-coding RNA (11815 nucleotides) under Coffea arabica (coffee). RNAcentral describes it as "long non-coding RNA (CARA_LNC003028)". Lineage: Eukaryota; Viridiplantae; Streptophyta; Magnoliopsida; Gentianales; Rubiaceae. The record is from RNAcentral.
UGUCCUCGUCAUUCUUGUGUAAAGAAGAACAUUGUUGGGUUUGUUUCUUACGAAGGAUUGAUGGUAUGGGGUGAGUGGAUUUUCUAGAGACAGUGAAAAUGGAAAAAGAAAAGAGGGAGAGAGUAACGAUAAAUAGCACUGAAACAAUAAGCAUGGUUAGAUAAGAAUAGCUGCAGAUGGGAAUAUGGGAUGGAGAGCGAGAGAGCUGUUAGAGCAGAGGGAGAGAAAGGGUGAAAGAGAGUCGAGACUACAGUGAGAGAACGCGGCGAUAUGGAUAUGGGAACGGAAUGUACAACGCGGCAUUUGCAGAUUGAUUUGGAAUAUGCUUGACUUUAAUAGGACGACUUUUACUUGCGGAUUUGUACUGAGGAGCGGGGAGCCAGGGGCGGAGAGAGAUCAAGUUCCCACUUCCCACCGGCCACCCCAUCAGAUAAAUUUACGCAAGAAGAGUCGACUGACUAACAGACUGAGUGACCAGGGGUUGAGUGAAUCUGUUUGAUUCUUCGUGUAAUUUAAGGAAUUUGUUACCAUUGCAUCACCUUCCAUUGUUCUUUUGACUUGGUAGUGUACUGUAGGACUUGCCUUCCUACUACACGUGUUAUGUAUCCAAACAUGCAUGGUAGGAAAAUAGAGAAGGGAUCAACCGCAAAGAGGCCAAGUGCGUAUGCUAUGACCAGCAAGUGAGCUGUGCAAGUGGAUUGAAAUUUGGGUGAGAUUGGAAUUAUCUACCGAUCAAGAAUCAUUUGUGACGAGGACAAAAUGCGACUGUUUAAAAAUACAUGGUGAUUUUGAUAUUCCCUCCUCCCAACAAGGUUAAAUGAGGAUAGAGAACCUUUUCUUGUUAAAGACAUUUAUUAUUAGGAUCACAAAAUCACCAUUUUUUUAACCAUAAAUUGGUGUAGUUGUAUUUCUACAGUGACAAGGUGAUUUCCGAACUGAUGAACCGAAUCUACAGUACAAGCACACAUGUCAAGAUAAAGAUAUAAUCAGAGUUUUGUCUCCCGAUCUAACUCCGAUGCUAAAAUCAGUUAUGUAAAAAAUCAAGAGUAAAAGCAACACUAGUUGGACUAAAGUUAUGAGCAAGAGAGAAAUUAAAGCCAAAAUCCUCUCUCUCUCUCUUUCCCCAUAAAGGGAGGGGAGUAUUUAUAGUAAGAAAACUGACGAGGAAUGGUGGAACCUACUAUUUGUUACCUGCAAGGAAUCAGCUUAGGGUGGCGGUGUCAGAGGUAGGUCUGGGUAUAACAGCAGUAGCAGUCAUAUCAACCAAUCUGACACUAAUCAAGCUUGUAAGUAUCAGACGCCAAGUAACCAGACAGUCCCAAUCGACCGAGGUGGACUCAUCUCGAGAGGACAAAGAUGAGAAUAAACACCAAGAUAGCCGAAGUGAUCACCUCAACCUAAAACGUGUUAGAUUGGUCAUCUCAGCGAUGAGUCGAGCCGAGGAAGCCGAGGUGAGCGUCCGCAUCGAGCAACGGGGAACUUGGCUGUUUUUUGAGUCUAGUCAUCUUCCCUUUUUGAGUAGAGGAAAUUCAGAUUAUGGUUAUUUUCCCAUCUUCUACAGGGAGGGGGAAAUUCAGAUUAUGUUUUUUGACCUUGGCUUUUGCAGAGGGAGGGGGAAAGUGAAAGUGGAAGUGGAAUUGGGAUCGAUGUACUUGUACUCGCUAAUUGACAUAUAAAGCUACAGGUUUAGUCCAAACAACUGCUUCACUCUUACUCGAGCAAAAUUGAGCAAGGAAAGGAAAGCAUCGCAGUCAGCUAGCAUAAGAUCAGUGGCACAUUUCAUCAUUCAAUUCAACUACUUUUUCCUUUUUGAUUUGGAUUCUUCCAGUAGUUAGUUAUUAGCAUUCUUUUUUUUUUGGGGGGAAGGAGGAGGAAUGGGUUUGGAAUAAUUUCUAAAAUGCACACUCGAGCAUCCACUUUGAUUUCAGAGGGCAACAUACAUCUUUAUUUAUCACUUGCGAUGAUGCACGAACCCAACCCACUGGGGAAAGCAGAGUCCAAUUUUGAUAGUAGCAAGACGUCGUAAUUUCUCUAGAAUAGAUAGAGACGCGCACCACUUGUUGCGGUCUUCAGGGCUUUAAUUGAAAAAUUGCCUUUCCAUUUCAUGAUAUGACAGCUUAGAGCCAUCCUUACCCCAGCACGGGCAGAAAGUUGACGACACUACUCUUUCCCCCUUUCUUUCUUGUUUAACUUGAUUCAGCCGAAUUUCAUGCCCAAAUAAAAUAGCCUUCUCUGCAAUUUUCUUAGUUUAUCUAUCUGUAAGGUAAAAGAGGGUUUACUCGUCUUCUUGUACAAGAUCCGUCUUGAAUACUCUAUUUAUUUAGAUGAAAGGAAGAAGAAUGAUUGUUUGUGUUAUUACUGCAAUGGCAAGCAUUGCUACAAUGGCAAAGCAAUGAGAUGGCUGCUUUUUUCUUUAUCUUUUUACAUGUAAAAUACGAUGAUGCUGGAAUCCCUGAAAGCCAAAAGCUUACAUAAUCUAUAGGACUACCAGUACAUUUGCACAUGGACUCAACUAGAAUCGUCUCGAUGUGCUUCUAAACAUAUCCUUCCAACUCUAAACUCUUGUACACUUGCAGGCCAGAACUAGAAGGAUAAUUAAUAGCUACUACUCUGUAUACAUUAAAAUUCUUAAAACCAUCUUCUUCUUCACGGUCUAAGAGCUUUGGACCGACGGUGUGUUGCCUAUCUUUACAACUUCACCCCAGCAAAGCCGAAAAAAGGAGGAGUCGUAGUGCAAGAAUUGGAUGUGCCAUAGCUUAAAAUAUCUGAAAAAUCAUACCGAAAGUAAAGAGUAUCUUGGAUCCAAGGCCAUAGCUGCUGUGCCACUGCUGAUAAGAAGAUCAUCUCAACUGCAAACCGCCUCGACAGAAAGUUUCUUCAUCACAUUUGGACACGGAUCGCCACCAAAAAGCGCAGGUGCUACUGUGACCGAGCAUGUUUGCUGCCCAAUGCAAUACUGCAAAAAAAUUUAAAAAAAAAAAAAAACAAAUAUUAGAAAAACAUAUACAUGCAUUCAUAAUUAGUUACUAAAUGAAGCCAUUUCUUCAUAUAUUACUUUGAACUGCGAAACAAAACGAAAAUUUGAAUAACUUGUCUGGAAGACGACAUGCUACGUUGACUGGAAUAAAAUUAUUGAAAAAGGAAAAAAAAAGUCCAAUGUUGAAUGCCAAGUAAGGUUGUAAACUUGAACUAUUUGACUAACAUACAAGAAAAGAAUAGCAGAGCUUAAUUCAGAAAUUCUGAAUUGUGAUUACCGUUUCAAAAGCAUCAUAAGAAUGGAAAGCAUGACAGCCUCCCUGACGGAAGUUUCCACAAGUCCCUUCAGGCGUUCCAAAGCUAGCAAAUUUGAUCGAUGAUAUUCUUUGACCAGGAGCACAUGAGAGAUGGGCUUUUGGCCUCAAGGGUUUGCUGACUUUACCUGAUGAUUGCAACUGCCAAUUUACUAAUGUUGGUUGCCAUUCAUAAAUAUCUGCGCAUACACUCGAUACUUCUCGUUUUACCAAAGAUAUGCCAUAUGGAUUUCCUCCCCAUUCUUCAAAUACAACUAACAAGUUUCCAGUUGGAUAUAACCAGGAGCGAGGGACGUGAUACCUGAAAAUAAUCCGAGUUCUGUCAGUCCACUGCAUAUUAUGGUGGAACACUAGAGAGAGAGAGAGAGAGAGAGAGAACGGGCAAGGAGCAUAGAAAGGAGAGCAAGUUGGUUGCUGGCUUACCAUUUUUGUGAGGCCUCCCCACAAUUACUGAGGCAUUUUUUCUCAUUAAAUGACCCAGCAUAACUGCAGGCACCACAAUUACCAGAUGCUUUAUAUGCAGGAUAAUACCUUCCAAUGCUCUGACCAUUUAUCCACACUUGACCUUUGCUCAUGGCACUCAUAUCUAAAGCCAAAGGCUCAUUUCCGGAUGGAGCACUGAAAGUAGUCUGCAAUUGCAAAGAAAAAGAUACAAAAACAUUAUGAUUGUUAUCAACCCUGAGAUAUUCCCCUGCCAAAGUGUUUUCCUUAUGCCAAGAGCAAGGAAUUGAACAGAAAGACGAACAAUAGUUCCAAAAUACUUCUAAUAGUAGGAGUAAGCACUUGAACAGAAGAUAUUAGACAUCCUUGGUGCGCUAUUAGCCCUCCCAUCUUCCAAAACAUUAAAGGAUGUAGAAUACCUUGUACCAGGUAAGUGGCUGCCUCUCGGCAACAAAAGAACCUUCACCCCACUCUACAGCAGAGCUCCCGCCAAGGGAAUGUAGACUCAAGGCUUCUCCCUUCAGACCAACCUGAUUAAAGCACCAAGUGAACUGCCAGUUAUUGAUUAAGACCAUCACGUGAAUUGACAGUGCUUUAUUAAGACCAUCAGGUGAAUCGACAGCCACUCAAUGAUCAGGUAUCAAAUAAUCAUUUUGAUUCAAAAACUGACCUUAUAAGACCAUUUCUGCCACGUUAGGUCUCUUCUCCCCUCAUUAAGACCAUAAAGUGAAACGGGCCCGAGAAUACCAGCAUUCCAUGUUUCAAAAUGGGGACCAACAUUCUGAGCCCAUACAUGAACGAUAAAGCAGAAUAAGCAAAUUUCAAACGCAUAUUGAGCAAGGUUUUUAAAAGCAUGCCAUGACAACCAUGCAGUACAUGCUUUAUUCAAAUUGCUCAAGAUAGAUAAUAUCAUGCAUGGCUACAUCAAAUGCAAAAGAACUUUAAAACGUCUAUGUGUGAAAGAGUGUGUGUGUGUGUGAGAGAGAGAGAAAGAGAGAGACAAACCGGGAGACCGACAGCAAUACUUAGGAGUGAAAUCUUGUUAACUCCGGCCCUCAGAUUUACACCUUGACUGAAAGUUAUUUUCGGGUUUUCCAGACUACCAUAUAUAGUUCCUGCCAAUGUUUGAACACAGACAUCAACAAACCAUCAUGAUUAUCAAAUUUCCACCUGUUAUGGGAACAAAAGCCGGACGAAGGAAGACAUGACUAUCUUCAACUUGACAGAAUAUGGGGACAACUUUGCUGAUAUAAUCUCCUAACUCUAAGGGUGAAGGAAUCAAGUUCAAAAUCAAUAAAACAGCAGAAUAUUGUCUCCAUGCAACUUAAGGGAACAUAUAUCUUUGAACUAUAUACUGAUAACAUUUUAUUGACUCAAGUUUCACCUUGACAUAUCACUCUAAAGAAAUAGUCAAUUAGACAACUAGCCACCACAUAACUUGCAUAGAAAACAAAACAUUCAAUGAUGUUCAAUGUCUUGUUGCACACCUGAUAGCUGACCAUUGAUGAAGACAUGCAAAGCAUGACCGGCUGACAUAACUGUAAGAACAGGCCAUUUUCCGCCUUUUAGAAAUCCUUCGGUGUGGUAAAUUCUCACUCUGAAUAACAGAAACAUAGGAGUUAAACCUCAAAAUGAAUCAUCACAAAGUCAGCGUAUCAGUAUAGCUGUAUGAGAGUAAAAAUCAACAGAAAGAAGCACCUACUCUGUUGAAUACCACAAAUAAUCUGAAUUAUCUCUGGUGACAUUUAUCUGCUCCAACAACCCAGAAACUGUAAACGUGUUGUCUUCAUAUGAUGCUGUUUCUUCAUUGUAUGACUCCCAAGAAAAGCCCUUAAUAACAGGAUUCAUUUUCAUCUGUGCACUUUGAGCACCAACCUUGCCAUGAAAAAUCAGUCUGAUGUCAAGAUUACGUAGUGAAGAGGUCUUUUCAUAAGGGACACAAACCCAUAACGUAGUCGUGAUAAUCUACAGUCAGCAAUAAGAUAAAAGACAUUAAAGUUCAAUAACAGUUUCUCUUCCUCACCCUUGCAGUAUUAUACACAGUGUUCUUGCAGUCAGGAAGGAUGCUGAUAGACCAGGGAGGCAGGUUGUAGUGCAUAUUGCCAAAAGCAACCCUUGCAAAAGAUUGAGAGUUGUAGUUGGCGAGAAAUGCUGCACAAGCUCCAGAUUUUGAUUUAAAAACAUGAGCCUGUAAUGCAAAACUGAAAGUAAGAAAAACGGUUGAACUCAAUUUGUAAUAGUGGCAAAUGUAAGAGAAUAAAAGUAAUUGAAACCUCUUGAUAAUUUCCAAGAGGCGUCACAGUGGGAUUUCCAGAUACUAGUGCUGGUUCGCAGAGCUUUAGUGCUCUAUGUAAAUCCUUAAGAUGACCCCAUUUGGGUUGCCGUAAUAGUCCUGGAAGAAAACAGAAACUUUCAUCAGUUUGAGCUGAGCAAUCCAAAGCUCAUUAGGCUUUUAACUGUCCCCAUGCACUUGAUACUGACAAAGGAUCAUUUCAGCUAGGAAGAAUCAUCCAGAGAACAAAAUAUCAGAUUCAGAAGGCAAAGAAAGCUUAAUUUAUUGCCAGUGUUAGACAGUACAGAUCCAUAUAGCAGGAUGAACAUAGGAUUUGUCACUCCUUUGGAUAGUUUAGACCAGCUUUUACAUUAAGAUUUCAUCAGACAUCGAAGAUAAGGACAGGAUCCUAGUGGUCUUCUUAAACAAAUAAGUCAAUUAUCAGACUGCACCAUUAGACACAAAAAAGUCGAUAGACCGGCUUUGACAUUUAGAUUUCCUCAGACAUCAAAUGAUAAGGAAAGGGUACAUGUCUUUUCUCAAAUAAAAACAAGGUCAACCAUCACAAUGCACCAUUAGGAAGACACUAAGGGUCAAAAAUACAUUUAAGACAAACAGAAAGUCAAGUCAAGACUUGCACUUCACUCUUAGUAAAAUGACGCACAUGUCCAGUUUAAAUGACAUGGCAGACUGAGGCUUCUUAGGGGCUGACAAGUAUGGCCACUAUAAAAAUAAAUGCCAACCCAAAAGCUAGUUUCCCGCUAAAAUGCAAACUCAUAUAGAAAACAUUAGCAUCUAGAUGACAUGAGGUGAAUACUGCAAGCUUAGGACAUGAGUUUAGGAGCUGGUGCAGUCUACAUACCAUAUUCAUCAAGAGGAGCAUCAUAAUCAUAGCUAGUGGCAAUAAAUGGUCCACCAGCUGUCCUGCCAAAGUUUGUUCCUCCAUGAUACUGCCACAAAGACAGGAAAUAAGAAGACAAUCACAACUUCCAGUAAUUUAGUAGGAAUUUUCACAAGAAUAAUUUUUAAAACAUUAAACUUUACCAUGUAAUAAUUAAUAAAGGAACCCCCUUUUUGAAUAAAUUUUGCAACAGAAAAUGCCAAGUCUUCAGCAGGACGGUAAGGUUGCGCACCUCCGAAUUCAGUAAACCUGCAAAAAGAACAGAUAAAAAUAGAGUCACUUUCCUGUUAUAAAACUCCAAGAAUUAUGUGAAACUACCUACCAAAAAGCAAUAACUCACCAGCCAGUCCAAGCUUCCGUCCAAAUCUUGGGUUUAUAAGCCUUAUUUGGGGAGAAGUAGUCGCAGUAGAAGCCAUUGCAUGUAUUUAUCUGGGCAGAAGUAAAAUAGACAUGCGAAAACAGACGCUUAGAAGAAAAAAAAUAACCGUAGUUGCAAAGACUAAUAAUCGGUAAAAAAGGAAUCCUCUUGAGAUAAAACUGAAGAAGUUCGAUAAAUAACAACAACCACAACUAUUCAAUUGGAUAAGUACUUAUGGAUACUCAUCCUAGGAGACAGGCAAGGAAGUAUUUUGUAGCUGAACAUCAGAAAUCAGAGUUGAACGUUGAAAGUGGGAGUAUAUAUGUAGUCAAUGAAGGAACUGCGACGUCAAUCAGCGACUCAGUCCGAAUAGAAUUCAAGAUCCAACCAUAUUUUAAUCAAGACAAAUUUGACAGAUAGGAUUGAGCAGAAAAAACCCAUGUGCAGGGGCUCCAACAAUUCAAUCUCUUUUUGGGUCACAAAAUGGACAAAACACUGGGUUCCAGAAACCCCACUAUACUAUGGGGGAACAUGGCAUGACAGCCAUCAAGAACUAGAAUAAGAGCAUUGCAAGUACUCUAAGAUUAAUCAAAAUGCAAAAAAGAAAAAGGUGGGUGGGGCGAUGGGGCAAGGUUACUCACAACAGGAUCAGGUGCGUCAUCUUGCUUGCACAUGACCCAAGGGACACCAGUGCCUAGAUCCACAGCCAUUUUGGCUGCCCAUUCCGUAUAAGCUCGACCAGGGGCACCUAAUUCAUACUCCAUAGGCCCAUAUUCGUUCUCAACCUGCAAAAUUAUUCCAAAAAAAGCCUACCUUUUUCAGUUCACUUCCUUAUUUUCCACACUUCAAAUAUUCCAGAUACCAGAAAGAAAAAAUGAAACUGGACAUGAAUAAACGGAAAGAAAUUACUACCUGCGAUAGGAUUAUUGGACCACCCUGAGGUUCAUAUAACCUCUCGGCUUUCAUCAUAUUCACAAUCUUGGUCGUGAAUUUUUGCAUUGCGGCCUUCGUUGCAGAAUCAUAGACACCAAAAUUAGUUAGAAUCGAAUCAUGUCAAUGCAAUAUGGCAGUAAAGGAAAUUAAUAUCCUACAAACUUAUUUGCCUGACCUUGAAAGGACCGUUGUUUGUUCUAAAGCUAAUGCCCGGAACAUACUUUAACCAAACUGGAAAACCCCUGAAAAUUUAUUCAAGAAAAAAGUGACUCAGACCAUAAACACUUCUCAAACAGCAGGAAUUUUCUACUUCUGGAAACUGCAUUACUUAAAGAUUACCCAAAGUUCCAUUCAGCACAGACAUAAGGACCAAUUCUGAGAUUAACAUAAAGCCCUGCUUCCUUCACCAGCUUGACAAAUUUAACCAGAUCAUAUCUACCCUCAAAGUAAUACUACAAAAGUAAAAUACAAAAACUUUAGUAUAUAUAUCCAAGAAGUAUUAGAGAAAAAAAAGUAAAGGGGGAAAAAUACACCCAGUUCAUCAAUUACUUUGCCAGGUUGAGGUUCAUGUCCAUUCCAGAAAACAUAAGUUUCGAUCACGUCCAAGCCUCCCUCUUUUGCCUUCUGAAUAAGAUCCGGCCACAUCUACCAUAACCCAAAACCAAGGAUAAAAAACCGAACUUCAUUGCAGAGUUCAGUAAGAAAUGCCGAAGAGAGCAAUUGGUAAAGAGGGCACCCAAAAGAAAAAAAGAAAAAGAAAAAUAGAAAAGAAAGAGGCAAAUAAGCAAUGGGGAUGAAGUACAUUUGAGGUAAAUAUACCUCAGGAGUGCUUCUAGGAUAAUGAAUGGAUCCAGAUAUAAGAAUCCUCCUUUGGCCAUUAACAAUAAUAGCCUUACUGUCAUAGGAAACAGAAGCUGUUCCACAAGAAACCCAUGAACCCAAUAACACCAGCACCACCAAGGCCAAAACUUUCCACAUUACAGAAACCUUGGAGAAAAUCAUUUCUAGGCAUUAACUAAAACCCCUCCGUUAAAACUUUUCCUUCCCCCUUGUACCUCAAGCUUGUACCUUUACAAUCUCAAAGCAAAGCACUCAGCCCUUUGUUUGGCCCUUUAGCCCUUUUCCCACCUCGCACUUUAUUCUAUACUAGUACUUGCUUUAUUGGAGAGAGGGAGGAAAAAAACACAAAAAAAAACAGAAGAAAUGAGUCAAAGAGGAAACAGCUGUUUUUCUUGUCUGAAUUUUUCUAUUACUAGCACUAUGAUAGAUAGUUUGCUUAGGUAGAGAGUUGCAAUUUGCAGAUGAUAGUCCCCAGUAGUACAGGAGUGGUCAGUGAAGCGUGAUAAAUUGUGGACUAAGGUAGUGUACUACUUGAGAAGAUGGGGUGCUUUGCAGCUGCUUUUAAACACAAAAAUUGGACCUCGUUUGAAAGUGACAUUCGGUCCCAUUUUCAGGACUUUGGACCCCACUCAUUACCAUACCAUUUUGGACUUUCCUCACUAGUAAUAGUAAUACUUACGCGGAGUCUCAACUCUCAUCCGUUUUUUAUUAUUAUUAUUAUUAUUUAAGUGAGGGUACUUCCUUCAUUAUUUACCAUCCCUCCUUUCAAAUUUUAAGUGAGCAUUUAAGAAGGAAGAUUGAUGCUUGUAAGAUUACUUUAAAUUUUGAUUUUUUAGAUUUAAAAGGGCUUUUCUGCUGUCUGCUGAAAAGUGAAUUAAAAAAAAUUUCUUUUUUUUAACGCGUUUGAUUAAAGCUCUGCUAGUGGGCAAGGAUUCUCAGCCCAAUCCCAAUAUGGUCGGUCCGCGCUUUUUGGCGAAGCCUCCCAUGUUUGCUCUCUGAUGGAAUUUUACCAGACAAGCCUUAGUGCGUCUACAUCACUCGCGGGCAAUUUGCCGCACAUUAUUGGGCUGUGCAGCCACGGACGCUUCCCACGCCAGGGAAGGCCUUCUUUUUUGUCCUUUUUAGUUUCUCCUCAGUAAUGACGAUUGCGAUUUACGAGGAGUAUGUUAAGUGUUAGUUAAUAACAUAAACAGUGCGUUUGUCACGGGUUUGGUUUUGUGCUUUCUUCGCUGUUAGCCAUCCUAAUAAAUAAUGCGUUUAUCAUCAUUUUCUUAAUCUAGGAAUGAUUGGUCUAAAUUAUUCGAUCUGUUCUGUAUUUAGACGAAGCAUGUCAGUCUUAACAAUCUACUGUAUAAUACUCCCUCCGUCCCACUUUGAUAGUCCUGGUUAUUUUUUCACACAGUUUAAAAAAAAGUAGUUAACUUUGUUGGAACAAUCAAUUUAGGUAGAUAUUUUUCUAAAAUACUCUCACGUUAAUUAGAGUAUAAUUUUAUGGGAACUUAAAUUGAUGGUAAAAAAAGAAUCAACUCUCAUUAAAUGGGGUAGGUUAUAGUAAUAACAACUUACAUUAAAUAAGGGUAUUUUAGGAAAAUUAAAAUACAACUAAAUUCUUCAAUUAGAAAUUGGACUACAAUUUGAGACAAACGAAAAAGGAAAACAGGAUUAUCAAAGUGGGACGGAGGGAGUAAUAAAUAUAGAUUAAUGGAGGUGAACCAUUCUAUUUAUUAAAGAGUUUUGAUGUUGCUUUGAGUCAAACAGAGAGUAUCGUGUUUGGACAUUACAGUCACCGAGAGUGGUGAAAGGAAUGUUUGUUCCCCAGUCUCUCAUGCCAAUUUCUUUCUUUUUUUAUUAUUACUAUUAAAAAUUUCCUGAGGUUUUCUGGAGGAAUUAUCCAAUAUGCAUUUUAGUUGAUGUCUAAUGUGGGUUGAAAUAUCAUCGGUAGAUUAGCAUGCACACACUCGCUAAACAAAAUUAAAGAACCCCCAACCUUUUUUUAUUUAAUUUUUAGGAAUCCCUUUUGCUUCUUUCUAUAAUCUAUACUAAGGACAGAAAAAGGAAAAGAAAACCCACUAAUGCCUGAAAAAGUUGUACCAUCUGGUCCUUUUUUCCUUUUUUUGUAUAUCUUCUGUCAAGGAUCAAAGAUCUUCUCUUUCGGAUGAUAUAAUGAUAGAUCUCAGGUACAAAGAUAGCCUUUUUGUAAUUGUUUUGAUUAGGAAGUGUAAUUGAAACCGAUCAGAAGUGAAACGCGGAAUUCAGUGGGAGAAGCAUCCUGCUUUUCAAGAGUUGGAUUAUUCGGUGAAUUUCUUGCCAUCAAUAAUGCCAAGACAAAACUUACAGUAGUCCCAAUACUAAUAUGCAUCUGUAUCAAUGCCAAGAGAAAACUGACAUUAAGAAAAGAGUUUAUCUUAAAAGCGUGUGUGUGAGAGAUAACGUGUUAUAACGGUUGCAUGCACGAGACGAAAUGUGUACAGAAUUUAUAUUUCAAAUUCAAAUUCUGAUUGAUUAUCAUGCGUUCAGCAGUAAUAACGUAUACACCAUCAAUCAACGUACGGAAGAUUAAUAUGAAAAGAGUAAUGAUUUUCUCGUAAAUUAGAAAUUUAAAACGUGUUAUUCUUGUGAAAAAAAUACCACAAAGUGACAAAUCAACAUGUACAAUAUUGACGUCCUCAUUGUUUGUUUAAUAUUUGUCACUUUAUGAGCGGUAGGAGGAAACAAAGAAGCUUUUAGUUUGAGCAAUCAAGAAGGAAUAGAUUGGUAACUUGGCGAGAGGAGAAAGAGAG